CCUACGGGAGGCAGCAGUGAGGAAUAUUGGUCAAUGGGCUUACGCCUGAACCAGCCAAGUCGCGUGAGGGAAGACUGCCCUAUGGGUUGUAAACCUCUUUUGUCAGGGAGCAACGCCGGCUACGUGUAGCCGGACUGAGAGUACCUGAAGAAAAAGCAUCGGCUAACUCCGUGCCAGCAGCCGCGGUAAUACGGAGGGUGCGAGCGUUAUCCGGAAUGACUGGGGGUAAAGGGUACGUAGGUGGUUUGACAAGUGGGUAGCGUAACUCCGGGGGUCAACUCCGGAACUGCUAGCAAAACUGGUGGACUCGAGUGCAAGAGAAGCAAGUGGAAUGUGGGGUGUAGCGGUGGAAUGCGUAGAUAUUAGGAAGAACACCGAUGGCGAAGGC
Molecule: ribosomal RNA, 388 nt
Filed under: uncultured bacterium
Lineage: Bacteria
Description: partial 16S ribosomal RNA
Rfam family: Bacterial small subunit ribosomal RNA
Source: RNAcentral